AUUGCUUCUCGGCCUUUUGGCUAAGAUCAAGUGUCAUAUCUGUUCUUAUCAGUUUAAUAUUUUAAUCUUCAGGUGGCUCAAAAGGGCAAGCAGGCCUUAGGGACAACUGGUUGACCUCGAACAUCA
Small nuclear RNA from Cavia aperea (Brazilian guinea pig), 126 nucleotides. Its record names the gene U2. It matches the Rfam family "U2 spliceosomal RNA". From Rfam's summary of the family: U2 is a small nuclear RNA (snRNA) component of the spliceosome (involved in pre-mRNA splicing). Complementary binding between U2 snRNA (in an area lying towards the 5' end but 3' to hairpin I) and the branchpoint sequence (BPS) of the intron results the bulging out of an unpaired adenosine, on the BPS, which initiates a nucleophilic attack at the intronic 5' splice site, thus starting the first of two transesterification reactions that mediate splicing. The record is from Ensembl. NCBI's taxonomy places the organism in Eukaryota, Metazoa, Chordata, Mammalia, Rodentia, Caviidae.